This 61-nucleotide transfer RNA is filed under the name Melanitis leda. RNAcentral describes it as "tRNA-Ser". The record is from RNAcentral. RNAcentral also lists the same sequence under 1 other name. Lineage: Eukaryota; Metazoa; Arthropoda; Insecta; Lepidoptera; Nymphalidae.
GAAAUAUUUAACAAUUAAGCUGCUAACUUAAUAUUAAGUGAUUAAAUUCAUUUAUAUUUCU